UACAGAGGUCCCAAGCGUUACUGAGAAUCACUGGGUUUAAAGGGUGCGUAGGUGGUCCGUUAAGUCAGUUGUGAAAUCCCCGGGCUCAACCCGGGAACUGCUUCUGAUACUGGCGGACUUGAGGCCAGUAGGGGUCACUAGAACUGACGGUGGAGCGGUGAAAUGCGUAGAUAUCGUCAGGAAUGCCGGUGGUGAAGACGGGUGACUGGGCUGGUUCUGACACUGAGGCACGAAAGCUGGGGGAGCAAACAGG
This 253-nucleotide ribosomal RNA is filed under the name uncultured bacterium. RNAcentral's name for it is "partial 16S ribosomal RNA". It matches the Rfam family "Bacterial small subunit ribosomal RNA", at positions 524 to 776 of the family's 1533-position model. The record is from RNAcentral.